CCUACAAUGCUAGCUCUUCUAUAAAAGCCUUCUCGGUCGGUGAAUUGCAGAUCCCAGUAACCUUGCAGUUCUUAUAUUUCUUAGCAAUUUACAGAGGUAGUGAAUUAGUGAUACCUAUCCGCAAUACACAUCCAUAAUACUGUCACCAUCUUUAAUUUGUGACCUUUCACAAUACAUUUAGGACGAUGAUGAGUCUUUGGUCUGGAAUAAGGGAGAAAGAAGAACAGAGGAAGAGAGAAAGGAGAAAGAUGUUUUACAGUCAGUUAGUGGAAUUGUGAAAAGAACCAAAUACCCUUUGCAGUUUCAAUUUGGGUUAAAGCCGUAACGUCAAAAUGUGUUUUAGAUACCCAUGUGAAAACAGAUCUUAUAUGUGAGAUACCAGUAUGAUAUUUCUAAAACAUGAGAUACCAAAGUUACUAAAGGAUGAAAUGUGGGAUACUGUUCGUAUCUUUUUCCCUUGUUGUUUUCUAGCUAUAUUGUUAUGGAUUAUGAAUAUGUGCACCACUUAAAAUCGCAGCUCCGUGGUCAUGUCAAAUUGUAACUGAUUUUCUAAAUGCUGCAGUAAUCAACAUAUAUAUCAUAAUGUCAUCCUCCAUUAAAAAUAUAAAAAUGAGAAUAAGAUGAUGAGAUUAUCAAGAGGGUUAAGCGUUGGAAGAGGUGUUCUUUAGUAUUGUCCAUGGUUCAGGUCCUGAAAUAGACUGUAUAUUCAUGUAUGAUAGGAUGCAUGAAUUUUAAACCAUGCCACUGCACUAGUUUCGUCCGGGCAGUAUGAGGAACCAGUUAACCAGUUGGUUAGUAAUAGUAUUUCUAUGAAUGUAUUUACCUAUUAUUCAUUUGAUCUAGCUUACUGUUUUUUAAGUAGAAAAGGCAUUGAUCGAUGUUAUACCUAGCAAACUGGUUUUGUUUUAUAAGUGCUUUUGAUUAGUUCUGCAUGCUUACUAGCAAGCUUCUUUGUUUCAUUUUAUAUUCAUUAUAAUGUAAUAUCUAUUGAUCAUUUCAGUUUAAUGACAAAGACACUUGCACUCAAGAAGAGAUUGAUGUAGUUCGAGUAGAUCGUUUUUCUAGUAUUUCAUUCUACUUUUGCUUGGUGAAUCUGUUAUGUCUUUUGUAUCAAACUUUCAGGAAAAAUUGAGUGAUUGUAGGAGGCAUGGCAUUGUCAACAUUAGUACCUUCAACUGUGAGCAAUUUCUAUGCUUGCUAAAAUUUCAAUAACUCGUUUACCGAUCUGAUCUUUACAUGGACUUCUGUUAACCAUAGAAGCUGCUGGCUUGUCCUAUGUAUCUCAAGUUAAGGGUGCACUUUACUUUGGAGUGGAGAUGUUGCUCAUGAGAUGCAAAACUUGGUCUUCUAUGGUCGCAUUAUCGGAAGGUGCUACCACAAAUUCAGUUGGACAAUUUGAUUUAUAUUUGGAGCUUUGGUUUAGAGCACGGUGAGAAACUAUCUGAAAACACUAGUCUGACAUUCAUUUUCUUCUCACUGUGUGUGAGCCAUCUUACGAGAGAUUUUGUGUGGCAUAAACCUUUAUUUAAUUUCUAUGCAACCUAAUUUUGCCUAUUUAAUUUUAUAGUUUACACCUUUUAUAUCUGCGACCUCUUAUUGCUCAGGGCAUAUACAACUAGUAUUAUUAAUGGUAACUUCAUUUUGCAAUAAGCUAGGUUGUUCUACUUUUGAUAGCAUCUGAUAUGCUUUAUGUUUUAUCUUGUUAGCAUAGAGAAUGGUAUAGGUGAGAAUGACUCAAAAGGAGGCAGUGGGGGUAGCUGAGAAGAAGAAAGGAAAGAGAGGCCCAGGCAAUGCUAUUGGAUACAUUAUUGCUGGUUGGAUUUCUGUUUAUAUGCUAAUGUAUGCUAGGUUGGAACAAAGGAAUGUAUGAAAUUACUUCCCAAAAUACAAUGAUUCUCAUUACUCAUUCUUGAC
RNA transcript from Fragaria vesca subsp. vesca, 1914 nucleotides. RefSeq lists it as uncharacterized. The transcript is spliced from 2 exons. NCBI's taxonomy places the organism in Eukaryota, Viridiplantae, Streptophyta, Magnoliopsida, Rosales, Rosaceae. The record is from RefSeq and is a predicted model, not a curated record.